AACCUGCUAAGGUCUUGUUCCAACCCGUGGGUGCUUUGUUCUUUUGCUCUUUGCAGUAGAUCUUGCUGCUGCUCACUGUUUGGGUCCACAUUGCCUUUAUGAGCUGUAACACUCACCUUGAAGAUCUACAGCUUCACUCCUGAAGCCAGCGAGACCACGAACCCACCGGGAGGAACUAACAACUCCAGAUGCACCGCCUUAAGAGCUGUAACCCUCACCGCGAAGGUCCACAGCUUCACUCCUGAGCCAGUGAGACCACGAACCCACCAGAAGGAACAAACUCUGAACACAUUCGAACAUCAGAAGGAACAAACUCUGGACAUGCUGCCUUUAAGAACUGUAACACUCACCUUGAGGGUCCACGGCUUCAUUCUUGAAGUCAGUGAGACCAAGAACCCACCAAUUCCGGACACAGUGGCACUUUGGGAAACAGAGGCAGGAGGAUUUCUUGAGCUCAGGAGUUCAAGACCAGCCUGGGCAACAGAGGGAGGCCCCAUCUCUACAAAAAAUAAAAAUAGGCCAGGUACAGUUGCUCACACUUGUAAUCCCAGCACUUUGGGAGGCCAAGGUGGGCAGAUCACAAGGUCAGGAAAUUGAGACCAUCCUGGCCAACAUGGUGAAACCCCAUCUCUACUAAAAAUGCAAAAAUUAGCUGGGUGUGGUGGCGCGCACCUGUAGUCCCAGCUACUCAGUAGGCUGAGGCAGGAAAAUCGCUUGAAUCUGAGAGGCUGAGGUUGCAGUGAGGCAAGAUUGCCCCACUGGACUCCAGCCUGGUGACAGAGCAAGACUCUGUCUUAAAAAAAUAAAUUAAUUAAAUUAAUAAAAAAUAAAUUAGCCAGGUGUGGUUUUGCAUACCUGUGGUCCCAGCUACUCAGGAGGCUGAGGUAGAAGGAUUGCUUGAGGCUCAGAGGUCAAGGCUGUAGAGAGUUGCGAUCACACACCUCUGCACUCCAGCUGGAAUGACAGAGCAAGACCCUGUCUCAAAAAAAAAAAAGUUCAAGCUGUAAACUUGAGAUGUGUGCAUUUUAAUGUAAGCAAAGUAUGUCUCAAUUUGCAUUGUAAAUUUAUUUUUAAGCCACCUCACUAUUAAGCCUUUGAUGAUUUUUCUGUCACUACUCUUCUACUAGCAAGGUUAUGCCCACAGGUACCCCUGUGCUUUACCAAUUUUUACACUGCUCAAAGUCCAUCAAUGGUGAGAUUCCCUGCGUCCUCCCUAAACUGCUAACAAUUAGUGUCCAGACCAGCUGCCAUUUUGAAUGGCAGCUACAAGUUCAGCUAUAUUUGUGAAGCACGAUAAGUAAAAAUAAUCUACUGGAACACUUUGUUGGGGAACUUAUGUUCCAUAUUUUUCCAAAUCAGCAGAGACUCCACCUCUGAGCUCUUGUCUGGCUGAGUGAUAAAGGCAAUCAGAUUCAGACCAAUGACCAGAAUGACCAGCUACUCAACAACAGUGAUCAUGCAGAGAGGCUCACAAAGCAAGGUUGUUUAAGAAACCCACACAAUGCACAAUGCUUGGUGGUCACUGACCUUUUCAAAGGUUUAUGGAAUUAUUUGAGACUUGGAAGAAAUAAUUGUACUGUCCCAAAAACUUACAAAAUGAAAGUUAUAAAUGUUUAAUUAAAUGUCUACAAAAUGUAUUAUGUUAGUCAACUAAAACCUACCUCAACAUAUAUAUGUAAAUUAUACUAAAUGUGCCAUAUGGCCACAUUUUAACAUGUUUGGUGUGAGGUAGGACGAGGCAUCCAACACAGAUUUGUCUUAAUUGCAUGAAGAUCAGGAAAACGUGGCCUUGCUUGCAUGUCAUAUGGUAGCUUUUCUGUUAAGUCUAAUAAGCUCCUCCUUUUUUUGUGGACAGAGGUUGCAAUUGCUUCCUUCGUUUCUGGAACCAUAAGGGAAGUCAGCCUACAUGGUCCUAGCAACCAAAAGCCCAAACUCUUGAAGAAAGAAUCUUAGACAACAAGGCAGGAGAAACAGCCAUCUGGUACCAGUUAGAACCUUUCCUUUCGUGAGACCCCCUCAGCCUGUGACACAUUUGGAGUCACUUUAUUUCUUACUCUGCUUGCCCUGUGUGCCAUCCCAAGAUGUCAACUAAUAGUUUCUGGGGUCACAGAUCCCAGAAAAUUCCUGGAACGUAAGUCAUUUGAAUGUGUGCUCACUGCGUUUUUUUGUUUGUUUUUUGUUACCACUGACCUUCAGGAUGGAGUGGAAAGAAUAUUCUUUUGGAAUGGAAAAUAUAUGUGCUUAGGAGUUACCCAGACCUGCAUCAUUCAUGUUUUGGUCAUCAUUUAGCAGUGGUUGGAAACAGCGCUGGGCUGGAGUGGGGGGUGGUUUUGUCCAGGUUCUACCACUUACGGGCUUUGUGACCUCACAUAAAUCUUUUCUCUCUGAGCCUCAAUUAUCUCAUCUGUGAAAUGGAAGGAAGAACCCCAGUUUCACAGAGCUGCUGGCAUGAGAAUUAAUAAGGUAUGCAUAUCAUGAUAUUAGCACAAUGCCUGGCAUGUAGUGAAUGCUGUUAACACUGUCAGACAGAAAGAAAGUUAAUGGUUGCCAGGGGCUGGAGAUGGAGAGUGACUGCUGAAAAUGGUUAUGGGGUUUCCUUUGGAAUGAUGAAAAUGUUCUAGAACUAGGUAUUGGUGAUGGUUGCGCCACAUUGUGAAUAUACUAAAUGCCAUUCAAUUGCACGCUGUAAGGUGUUUAAAAUGAUCAACUUUACAUUACAUGUAUUUUACCACAAUGAAAGAAAAAUAACUGGUAGACCGUCUUUUCUACCCCAUAGGUUGAAGGCAGGAGGGAGACCGACCUGCCACAGAAACCUGCAAGGGUGUACUGCCACAUCGUUCUGAAACCCAAGCUGCAAUUGUACAAAUGGCUCAAAAUCCCUUUUGACUAAAGGAUAAAGAUUGAAAGCAAAAGACGUAUUUUGACCAAGUGUGGAGGGAAACCAACUUUGAAUGAAACACGAAUAACAGAUAAGAUAGUGAAGAAAGUGCUUCACUGUGAUUCUCUUAAUAGUACUCAAUAAAAGUAUCUUUUAAGUUUUA
This 3041-nucleotide long non-coding RNA is filed under the name Homo sapiens (human). RNAcentral's name for it is "HSALNT0354760". The record is from RNAcentral. Lineage: Eukaryota; Metazoa; Chordata; Mammalia; Primates; Hominidae.